RNAcentral lists this ribosomal RNA (468 nucleotides) under uncultured bacterium. Its description in RNAcentral is "partial 16S ribosomal RNA". It matches the Rfam family "Bacterial small subunit ribosomal RNA", at positions 28 to 507 of the family's 1533-position model. The record is from RNAcentral.
GACGAACGCUGGCGGCGUGCUUAACACAUGCAAGUCGAACGGAAAGGCCCUGCUUUUGUGGGGUGCUCGAGUGGCGAACGGGUGAGUAUCACGUGAGUAACCUGCCCUUGACUUUGGGAUAACUUCAGGAAACUGUGGCUAAUACCGGAUAGGAGCUCCUGCUGCUUGGUGGGGGUUGGAAAGUUUCGGCGGUUGGGGAUGGACUCGCGGCUUAUCAGCUUGUUGGUGGGGUAGUGGCUGACCAAGGCUUUGACGGGUAGCCGGCCUGAGAGGGUGACCGGCCACAAUGGGACUGAGGUACGGCCCAGAAGCCUACGGGAGGCAGCAGUGGGGAAUAUUGCACAAUGGGGGGAAGCCUGAUGCAGCAACGACGCGUGCGGGAUGACGGACUUCGGGUGGUAAACAGCUUUCGCCUGUGACGAAGAGGGAGUGACGGUAAUGGGUAAAGAAGCACCGGCUAACUACGUG